CUCUUUCCUAUCCUGAACUUGAGAAGCUCAAAUUUAUGAACAAGGUACCGGUAGGAAACAAUUCCAUAAACCCACACCACUGAUUUUUCCCUGCAGUGAUCUACAGUCAUCUAAAAGCAAAACCGUGUCAUAAAAACCUCAAUUUUUUCAUUGAAAAUAUUGUGAUCUGUGUGCAACUUUUUAUCACAUUCGGUUCUUUUGUAAUGAAUUUUGUGAUCCACGUGCAAUGGUUUAUCACAUUUGGUUCUUCUGAAAUUGGGAUCAUUUUGUAAUGAUGUUUUUGUCCGUUGUACAUGUAUAAACCCAGCAGCAUGAAAACUUGUAUUGAGCACCACGCGACCAUUCUGAAUUAAACUUCCACGCAUACAGGUCUGACUAAUACACUCAGAUCCAGCAGCAUAGUGCACAGGAAAAUUGACAUCUGUUCCGUAUUAUGUCCUCCAUCUUAGAUUCAGUAAUAACAAGAAAUUCACUUUAAAAAUUACAAGUGCAAGUGCAAUUUUUUGGCUAAACCUGUGCCAAAAACUGAACUUUGACACUUGGAACUUGCUCUGUUAGUGCCGUGUACAGUACAGUAGGGCUGCAUUACAUGUACAUGUACAUGACAUGUAUCAAUACAUGUAAAGACAAUUUGGAUAGGAAGAUAUUGGCACAUUGCUCAAGUCUUACAGUAAUAUUCCUUGUCACAGGGGAUAGUUAUUUUCAUUGGAUGUGUUGGCUGAAAGUACAUGCAACUGCCACGUUUGAUAGACAUUUUAGGUAUUAUUUGACACUUGAAGACCAGGAUGCAUAUUGUACGAAAUGUUCCUGUUGGGAACUUUGUCAGUAUUCCCCUUCCGGCAAGAGCAAAAUUUGAAAUAAAUGAAAUACAAUGACUUUUACAAACUGACUGAACUACCAGCCUUAUUUUCCUUACAAUGUUUAUUCAGUAUUCAUUGUUCUGGUCUUUGGGUUUGUUAUCAACAUGCAAUAAGGCCAAGAGUGUCAGCAGUAUCCAAUAUACAUGUACUUGUGUCAUGUAAACCUGUCAUCGUACUAAAACCUAUUCUUUGAAUAUUUCCUUGCUACAUUCUCAGCUCAAUUAUGCAUCUUUUCAUAAUUCAUAUAGAAAGUUUAAAGUGUAUUUUAAACUUGAAAGUUUCAAGUGGUGAAAGUAAAAGUUUGGUUUUGCAGAUUCUCCAGUAAAACAAUAGUACCUUCCUGUUUACAUGUACCUUUGUUGCAUAAAGGGAGAGUCAAAAAAGCACACACGUACAUGUAGACAGCCUGAAGUCAUUAGAGAUUGGCUGAAGAUAGUGACAGGCUUAAGUUAGCAUUGGUGCUUAAGUUGACAGAGGUAGACUGGCCGAUGUCGGCCGAAGUGGAUACGCUGACAGUAGAGGUAGACAGGAUGAUGUCAGCAGAAAUAGAUGUGCUAAGGUUGGCAGAGGUGGUCACGUUGACAGUGGAGGUGUACAGGCUGACAUCAGCAGAGGUGGUCACGUUGACAGUGGAGGUGUACAGGCUGAUGUCAGCAGAGGUGGUCACGUUGACAGUUGAGGUGUACAGGCUGAUGUCAGCAGAGGUGGACAAGCUAAUGGCAGAGAAACUGAAGUGAGACUAGAUGCCAUCCAGUCUAUGCUGCUUUCCUUAGGAUGUCACAGCGAUGUGAAUGAUACCAGUCCCCACUACGCAGCUGUUUGAGAAGCUCUUCCGUCUCAGUGGAUGCCUUUCCACCCAUGUAUUCAGUGACCAGGGAAUCCCAUCCUGGACAACGCACGUAAGGAUUUGAGUAUGGUGUCUCGUCACUGAUGCUCUAACCAUUUGUGGACGUUUUGCUACCAACAUCACCGCUCCAUGGAUAGCGCUGUUCUGUUGUUUCUCCAGGAGGCCUUGAUGCAUCCCCCCUGUAGAUACCCAACCAUCCUACAUGUAUGUGUGUUACCUGUCUCAUGAUGCCAUUGAUGUUAUGCUCUGGCAUACGCCUUGCCAUUGAUACCAGUUCCUAGUGGCUACUUUUCUGCAGUGGGCCCUUCUGUGCUAGUGUUGCAUCUCGUGAAUGUAUUGUGUGGCUUCUCACUGCUUGCUGGCUAUUGAGGGACAUACAUCAUUGGCUUCCAGUAAACUAAGAACUAGGCAGUUGAUCAUCUCGGUUAUCUCAUCAAACAGCAGUUUUAGAUGCCUCACAGAUUUCACAU
This is a long non-coding RNA of Acanthaster planci (crown-of-thorns starfish), 2177 nucleotides long. NCBI's taxonomy places the organism in Eukaryota, Metazoa, Echinodermata, Asteroidea, Valvatida, Acanthasteridae. The record is from RefSeq and is a predicted model, not a curated record.